AUAGUGGCAGAUGGGUGAGUAACACGUGGGUAAUUUACCUGCAAGACCGAGAUAACCUGCUGAAAGGCGGGCUAAUAUCGGGUGAUACCUCGUGAACGCAUGUUCUUAAGGUUAAAGGUGGCUUCCCCCGACGUCACGUCGGGGGGCGCUGUUACUUGUAGAUGAGCCCGCGUCCUAUCAGCUUGUUGGUAGGGUAAUGGCCUACCAAGGCUUUGACGGGUAGCUGGUCUGAGAGGACGGUCAGCCACACUGGGACUGAGACACUGCCCAGACUCCUACGGGAGGCUGCAGUCGAGAAUCUUUUGCAAUGGGCGAAAGCCUGACAAUGUGACGCCGCGUGAGGGAUGAAGGUCUUCGGAUUGUAAACCUCUGUCAGGCAGGAUGAAACCUUGCACUUUGAAUAGAGGUGUGAGUUGACAGUACUGCCAGAGGAAGCCACGGCUAACUUCGUGCCAGCAGCCGCGGUAAUACGGGGGUGGCAAGCGUUGUUCGGAUUCAUUGGGUGUAAAGGGCAUGUAGGCGCCCCGUUAAGUUUUCGGUGAAAUCCUUUCGCUUAACGGAAGAACUGCCGAGAAAACUGUCGGGGUUGAGUGCAGAAGAGGAGAGCGGAAUUUCCGGUGUAAGGGUGAAAUCUGUAGAUAUCGGAAGGAACGCUAGUGGCGAAGGCGACUCUCUGGGCUGCAACUGACGCUGAAAUGCGAAAGCUAGGGGAGCAAACAGGAUUAGAUACCCUGGUAGUCCUAGCUGUAAACGAUGGGCACUGGGUGCUGGGAGUAAACCUUUCAGUGCCGUAGCUAACGCGUUAAGUGCCCCACCUGGGGACUACGACCGCAAGGUUGAAACUCAAAGGAAUUGACGGGGGCCCGCACAAGCGGUGGAACAUGUGGUUCAAUUCGACGCUACGCGAAGAACCUUACCAGGGCUUGACAUGCAUCAAGUAGGAAGUCGAAAGGCCUACGACUCGUAGCCAGUCGAGAGGAUGCACAGGUGUUGCAUGGCUGUCGUCAGCUCGUGCCGUGAGGUGUCGGGUUAAGUCCCAUAACGAGCGCAACUACCGUCCUUAGUUGCCAACUCUGAUUGUUUCAGUUGGAGGGCACUCUAAGGAGACUGCCGCUGUUGAAGCGGAGGAAGGUGGGAACGACGUCAAGUCAGUACGGCCCUUACGCCCUGGGCUACACACGUGUUACAAUGGCCGGUACAAUGGGUUGCAAACCCGUAAGGGGGAGCUAAUCCCAAAAAGCUGGUCUCAGUUCGGAUUGAAGGCUGCAACUCGCCUUCAUGAAGUUGGAAUCGCUAGUAAUGGCGGAUCAGAACGCCGCCGUGAAUACGUUCCCGGGCCUUGUACACACCGCCCGUCAAGCGAUGGAAGCCGGAGGUACCCGAAG
This 1385-nucleotide ribosomal RNA is filed under the name uncultured bacterium. Its description in RNAcentral is "bacterial SSU rRNA". It matches the Rfam family "Bacterial small subunit ribosomal RNA", at positions 92 to 1426 of the family's 1533-position model. The record is from RNAcentral.